AACGAACGCUGGCGGCAUGCCUAACACAUGCAAGUCGAACGAGACCUUCGGGUCUAGUGGCGCACGGGUGCGUAACGCGUGGGAACCUGCCCUUAGGUUCGGAAUAACUCCCCGAAAGGGGUGCUAAUACCGGAUAAUGUCUUCGGACCAAAGAUUUAUCGCCUUUGGAUGGGCCCGCGUUGGAUUAGCUAGUUGGUAGGGUAAAAGCCUACCAAGGCGACGAUCCAUAGCUGGUCUGAGAGGAUGAUCGGCCACACUGGGACUGAGACACGGCCCAGACUCCUACGGGAAGCAGCAGUGGGGAAUAUUGGACAAUGGGCGAAAGCCUGAUCCAGCAAUGCCGCGUGAGUGAUGAAGGCCUUAGGGUUGUAAAGCUCUUUUACCCGGGAUGAUAAUGACAGUACCGGGAGAAUAAGCUCCGGCUAACUCCGUG
Molecule: ribosomal RNA, 433 nt
Filed under: uncultured bacterium
Lineage: Bacteria
Description: partial 16S ribosomal RNA
Rfam family: Bacterial small subunit ribosomal RNA
Source: RNAcentral